RNAcentral lists this ribosomal RNA (253 nucleotides) under uncultured bacterium. RNAcentral's name for it is "partial 16S ribosomal RNA". It matches the Rfam family "Bacterial small subunit ribosomal RNA", at positions 524 to 776 of the family's 1533-position model. The record is from RNAcentral.
UACGUAGGUGGCAAGCGUUGUCCGGAAUUAUUGGGCGUAAAGCGCGCGCAGGCGGUCCUUUAAGUCUGAUGCGAAAGCCCACGGCUCAACCGUGGAGGGUCAUUGGAAACUGGCGAACUGGAGUGCGGCAGAGGGGGGUGGAAUUCCGCGUGUAGCAGUGAAAUGCGUAGAGAUGCGGAGGAACACCGAUGGCGAAGGCAGCCCCCUGGGCUAGCACUGACGCUCAGGCACGAAAGCGUGGGGAGCAAACAGG